Molecule: ribosomal RNA, 256 nt
Filed under: uncultured bacterium
Lineage: Bacteria
Description: partial 16S ribosomal RNA
Rfam family: Bacterial small subunit ribosomal RNA
Source: RNAcentral
UACGUAGGGUGCGAGCGUUUGUCCGGAAUUAUUGGGCGUAAAGAGCUCGUAGGCGGUCUGUCGCGUCUGCUGUGAAAACUCAGGGCUUAACCCUGAGCUUGCAGUGGGUACGGGCAGACUAGAGUGCGGUAGGGGAGACUGGAAUUCCUGGUGUAGCGGUGAAAUGCGCAGAUAUCAGGAGGAACACCGGUGGCGAAGGCGGGGUCUCUGGGGCCGUAACUGACGCUGAGGAGCGAAAGCAUGGGGAGCGAACAGG